Molecule: ribosomal RNA, 443 nt
Filed under: uncultured bacterium
Lineage: Bacteria
Description: bacterial SSU rRNA
Rfam family: Bacterial small subunit ribosomal RNA
Source: RNAcentral
AGCGAACGCUAGCGGCGGGCCUAACACAUGCAAGUCGAGCGGAGGGGCAACCCUCAGCGGCGAACGGGUGAGUAACACGUAGGUCACGUACCCUUUGAUGGGGAAUAACCUAGGGAAACCUGGGCUAAUACCGCAUAUGUCCUUCGGGAUGAAAGCCUUCGGGCGUCAGAGGAUCGGCCUGCGGCCCAUUAUUUAAUCCUAGUUGGUAGGGUAAUGGCCUACCAAGGGUACGAUGGGUAGCUGGUCUGAGAGGAUGAUCAGCCACACUGGAACUGAGACACGGUUCAGACUCCUACGGGAGGCAGCAGUGGGGAAUAUUGGACAAUGGGCGAAAGCCUGAUCCAGCCACGCCGCGUGGGUGAUGAAGGCCUUCGGGUUGUAAAGCCCUUUCGGUAGGAAAGAUGAUGACGGUACCUACAGAAGAAGCUCCGGCUAACUUCGUG